RNAcentral lists this ribosomal RNA (1946 nucleotides) under Aurantiactinomyxon sp. CN-2002. RNAcentral's name for it is "SSU rRNA". It matches the Rfam family "Eukaryotic small subunit ribosomal RNA". Lineage: Eukaryota; Metazoa; Cnidaria; Myxozoa. The record is from RNAcentral.
CUGGUUGAUUCUGCCAGUACACUAUGCUCGUCUAUAGGACUAAGCCAUGCAUGUCUAUGUUCAAACGUACUUAAUGUGAGACUGCGAAAGGCUCAGUAAAUCAGUUAUAAUCUGUUUGAUUGUAAAACCCAUUGGAUAACCGUGGGAAAUCUAGAGCUAAUACAUGUGAAAAAUUGUAUGGCAACAUACAAUGCAUUUAUUAGACAACAACCAAUAUGCAUUGUAUUGAAUGGUAGCAAUACUGUUUGAUGCUUGCAUGCAGUUGAAUCUAGAUAACUUUGCUGAUCGUAUGGCCUUGUGCUGACGACGUUUCAAUUGAAUUUCUGCCCUAUCAACUAGUUGGUAAGGUAGUGGCUUACCAAGGUUGCAACGGGUAACGGGGAAUCAGGGUUCGAUUCCGGAGAGGGAGCUUGAGAAACGGCUACCACAUCCAAGGGAGGCAGCAGGCGCGCAAAUUACCCAAUCCAGACACUGGGAGGUGGCGACGAGAAAUACUGGAUCGUUUGUGACAAACAUGCGAUACCGGAAUGAACAUAAUUUGAGACUGUUGUCGAGAAACAAUUAGAGGGCAAGUCUGGUGCCAGCAGCCGCGGUAAUUCCAGCUCUAAUAGUGUCGUGUGACGUUGCUGCGGUUAAAACGCACGUAGUUGGAUUACGCAUGUAAGAGCGGUAUUCUGUGUAUAGUGACAUUAAAGCUUCGUUGUGUGUACGUAUACAGGAUAACGGAUGUACGACGCAGUCUGCAUUACGACUUGUAUAUAUGACUGCAAAGGGGUGUUACAAUGCAUUGAUUAUAGCCGUCUUAUGCUACAUGUAUCGUGAAUGUAAUGUAUAGCCUUAAUUGGUCGUGUGUUGUGUUUGCGGAGUGUGCCUUGAAUAAAUCAAAGUGCUUAAAGCAGGCGUAUUGCUUGAAUGUUAAUAGCAUGGAACGAACAAUUGCGAAUGCACAAGUGUGAUGUAAUAUGUAAACUCUGUUUAUGUAUAUGAUUGAGCUUGUGUAGCACCAACCAUUAAUACGGAUGUUGGUUUCCGUAUUGAGGUGAGUAUUAAAACGAGCGGUUGGGGGCAUUAGUAUUUGUCCGCGAGAGGUGAAAUUCUUGGACCGGACAAGGACUGACAAAUGCGAAAGCAUCUGCCUAGACCGUUUCGAUUGAUCAAGUACGAAAGUGAGAGGUUCGAAGACGAUCAGAUACCGUCCCAGUUCUCACUGUAAACUAUGCCAACCCGGGAUCAGUUUUGAGCUAAGUUAUAUACUAUGCUCGUGGUUGGUCCCCCUGGGAAACUUAAAGUCUUUAGGUUCCGGGGGGAGUAUGGUGCAAGGCUGAAACUUAAAGGAAUUGACGGAAGGGCACCACCAGGGGUGGACGUGCGGCUUAAUUUGACUCAACACGGGAAAACUCACCAGGUCAGGACAUUGAAAGGAUUGACAGAUUGAUAGCUCUUUCAUGAUACGGUGUAUGGUGGUGCAUGGCCGUUCUUAGUUCGUGGAGUGAUCUGUCAGGCUUAUCCCGGUAACGGACGAGACCAUUGUCUUCAUUUAGAGUGUCAAAGUAGAAGUUAUACUUCAAUGACAAUGUAUAAAGUUGAAAGUAGAAGUAGAGGUAACUCUAUUGUAUAUUUUCAAUGAUGUGCAUUUCCUUUGACUUGCAGGAUCGAAUGGUUUUGUAUUAUGAAGAGACAACCGAGUAUACAAAGUCGGGGGAUGUUUUUGUCUAUAACAGGUCUGUGAUGCCCUAAGAUGUCCUGGGCUGCACGCGCGCUACAAUGAUAACAACAGCGAGUAUAUCUGUAUCGAAAGAUUUGGGCAAUCUUGUAAAUUGUUAUCGUGAUAGGGAUCGUGUCUUGUAAUUGUUGCACGUGAAAGAGGAAUCUCCAGUAAAUGCAACUCAUCAAGUUGUGUUGAUUAAGUCCCUGCCCUUUGUACACACCGCCCGUCGCUAGUACCG